GGGGGUAUAGCUCAGCAGUAGAACAUUUGCAUUGCACUCAGAAGGCUCCAGGUUUGAACCCUGGCAUCUGCA
This 72-nucleotide transfer RNA is filed under the name Sphaerodactylus townsendi. RNAcentral describes it as "tRNA-Ala". It matches the Rfam family "tRNA". Rfam says of the family: Transfer RNA (tRNA) molecules are approximately 80 nucleotides in length. Their secondary structure includes four short double-helical elements and three loops (D, anti-codon, and T loops). Lineage: Eukaryota; Metazoa; Chordata; Lepidosauria; Squamata; Sphaerodactylidae. The record is from RNAcentral.